CAUUGUACUUUGUUACUACGAUAUACCAAGGUGAGGAUUACAUCUUUUUACCACCAUAGCGUAGGCAUUAAUGAAGUUUGAUCGUAGAUAGAAUCAAUAGCCAGCAUUAUAGAUUUUCCAAACGACAGGCAGACUGUGGUUGUAUCUAUUGGCUAUUGCCGUCUUGACGCUUCAAGUCUACACGUACGGAACUGUAUCUAUCUAGAUGUAUUUUGAAAGGAGAUAUUAUGUCUUAGUAGAAUUACAGUAUUUUUAUGGAUUGAUCAAAGACUUGAAUAUGGAUAAUAAAUUUGGACGAUCAUUGAUACUGCUCAUCGGCCAAUCAUUGAUAGAGCCGUUUAUGUCCAAAAAUAUUAGUGAGUCAUUCAGUCAACUUCAAUAGUGUGGUUUAGCAUCCACGGAUUAGGCAUGUUUUUAGCAUGACAGUGUGCUCUUGAUAAUUAAUAUGAUGCUAGGGUGUGGAGCUCUCCACACAUGACUCGCCAUGACAAGAGGUCUGAUUAGCUAUGAUGGUUUAGCUGGACGAUUCCAUUGCUGCGGCUCCUGCAGCCUCUGCUGCUACUCGGCGUAGCUCCUAUGCUUAGCAGGAGGGAGUAUGUAUGGAUAUACACAUGCAUGCAAGAUCUUCUUUGUGCGGAGGAGGGAGUAUGUAUGGAUAUACACAUGGAUGCAAGAUCUUCUUUGUGCCGUGGAACGCUAGGUGAAAUUUUCCUAGACAGAGAUGAAAAAAGCCAGUGUAUGGAACAUGACCAUAGCUCCCAGCUCCUAAGCGCUAGGCCCGUGGGUAUAGCGUCCGAGCCUCAGCCGCUACACAACCGUGUGUGGGCCCUGAGUUGGCCUUGCGGAGAGACGCUGAGUUAUGGAGGAUAACGCCAUGCUGUCGGGCGCUGAACAAAAAGUUUAGAUCCGUGAAAUAGUUUUGCGUCUAGUUCAUUUUGUAAAAUAGUUUUGGUUCGAGGUCCGUUUCGUCAAAAUCGACACGGCUGCAAUGGGGUCUCAGGUGCAGAGCAAAAACUGGCGAUUCCUGUGCUGGUGUAUGGGCGUAUGGCCCUGAACCGCGCAACGUCGGCGUUUCCUGUGUCGCCUACGGUCCCUGGGCGCGCAACGUCGACGCGGGAGCAGCCUCUCGCUCUGCCCCUGCGUCUCGCUGCAACCGACAAGCAGCUCCACUGUCGUUUGAUCGAGAUCAGGUUGUACUCAUUCCUUCUAGCCCCUGGAAAGUGCAAGGCCGUGGACUGUGGUACUACUGAUGGAAAAACGUUUCUCACUCCAUGAAUCUGAUGGAGUGAGGCAGCAGAAGCUGAGCUCUGUCUCCAAUGGGGAAGAGGAUGGAGAAAAUGCAGAGAGCGGUGGAGCAGCAGAAGGGGAAGCUCUACAUCAUCAUGGCCUGCGUCGCCCUGCUCGUCUGCGGCUGCAAACCUCAUGUGAAAGAUGAUGCACUGGAACAUUUGGAGCUUAAACUGAUCUAGGAACAAUGCGGUAACUGUAGCUCGGAUCCAGGGCUUAGGAUGUAGCAUAAAAAACGCCACCGUUUCCACUGAUGUGGAAUGCCAACACUGGCUCUGAAACCUUAAGCACUUAUUAAUCGAGUUAGCAUGGUUUAAUAAUACAAUAGAUGCAUACAUCAAUUUUGUCCAAUGGAGGAUUCGUCGAACCAUACGUCAUCUUCAAACUUCUAUGACAUGGUUGCAGGUGUGAGGCGGCGGCCGGGAUAAAAAAUAUACUGUAGCUUACUAGAAAAGAGAGCCAGCACUCGUGAUUCCCCAACAUGGAUGAUACAAAGCGAGCCUACUACUUUAUCUGGUGAAAAUGAAAAAUAUCAUUUUGGGGAUGGCAGCAGAUUGAUCCGUGUCCAGCUCCUGUCCGAUCACUUCCGGCUCGUUUGGUACCCAUCAUUUGGGUAUAGAAUUGUAGGAUUCAUUUUGAAUUUCAAAAAACAACUUGUUCGGUUGGUACGGAAUUAGCCACAUGAAUUCAAUCUCAAAUUUCAUGAAAUCACACUAUAAUUAGCCUCAAUUCCUCUCUAAAAGCCAUCAUUUCUCUGGAAUUGUCUCUCACUCUUCAAUUCCAUGUGGUAGACAAACAUGAUUUUUCAACCCGGAAUUCAAAUUCAACCAAAUAAAAUCCUAUCAAAAAUUGAAUUUCAUUUCAUUUUGAUCAAAUGAAAUGAAUUCUUGGUUGCCAAACGAGCUGUUAUGUAUACUAGUACAGUGUCCAGUACAGUAGUACUGCCUAAAAAGUUUUGAUCAGUACAUCUGUGUAUAGGGCAGGCAUGUGAAUAUGGCCUACGUGUAAACUCUUGUAGGCAUGUAAAAUUAUAAGUUAAUGCAAACUGUACCAUUUUUCUGUUUAUUCUAGUAAUGUAAAAUGUGAUUCUUGCAUCGAGAUUCUCCUUAGAACUAUAGAUUCAGAUUACAUCUGGGUCUCUCAUGUUGUUAGUGGGUUCCCAGACAGGUUUUCAAACAUUGGGUGAGACAAUUACCGUGUUUUAAAUAGCCAUUGGGUUUAAAUUGGAUGGGUCAAAUACACUGAUCAUUUCUUUUUCUUAUUUUUAAUAUAAUAUCUACUACUCCUUUGGAGAUCUACUAUUAGAGUACCCCAUCCAAUAACCCGGCAGAGUUUGCGACUAUUCUCAGACCGGGUGAGCAUCGGCUUCAUUGGUUAGUACUCUCUCCGUUUCUAAUACAAAAUCUUCGUAAUUUUGAUCAAGUUUAUAAAAAAUCUAUCAACAUCUACGAUUCAAGGUAUUGGUAUAUUUUUGUAUAAAGUUGAUCAAAUUUUAAUAUUUUAAUUAGAAAAAAAUGAGAGAAAUUUAUGACAAAGAUGAUAUGACUUCUCACUUAUAUUUAAGAAGGAGCUCAGAUUUUUCUUUUUUGAGAAUAGGCUCAGAAAAAAUUGUGCAGCCAAACAGGCCGAGUUCUUGAGGCCCACUUACUCCUACAACAGAAGGCCCAUGUACUGUCUUUGAUAGAGUUUUUUUAGCCAAAAAGGCCCGUAUUACUAGCGAUGAUUUUUCCUUAAAACAAAAAUCUAGGGUCCUCUCAAAAAAAAAAUCUAGGGAGGAAUCGGUGCUGCCGCCGCGGCCGCCUACACCUCCGGGGAUCACCGCCGCCGCACACCUGCGCCCAUUCUACGCCGCCCCGCCGCUAACGGCGCCGCUGCCCGAAAGGCUCCAUCCUCGCUCCUUCGAAGCAGGCCUCACGCGCAAUCGCGACAAGCGCAGGCCGCGCGCUCCAUGUACCGCCCCACUGUCAGGCCGAUACAAGCCUUCUCCAGAAAUUUCUCCUGGGUCGGAAUCAAGCUCACCCCCUCAGCCAGCUCCUACGCGGCUACGCCGGUAACCUCCGUGAGCUCCUAGAGACCUAGAGGUCUUAUGUGACGAGCGGGGCCUUAACCCCGCACCGAAGCAGCACAGACGAAGCGGGCUGGUGGGCUUCCUGACCACGCUGUCGUCUGCACGCGAUUGCUGUUCCAUCCGAGUACUCGCCUUCAUGCGCUGGCAGCUGCAGUGAUUGAUAGCGGCGCUGGUACUGGGGAUUUCGGGGUCAGGAGGAAGAGACUCGCGGUGUUCAUGUCCAGAGGGGGGUUGAACUUCCGGUCGAUCCAGGAGGAUGCUCUGGGUGGAAAGGUGAAUGGGGAUGUGGUUGUGCUCAUCACGGAUAAGCCAGGUGAUCAUAUAUGAUUGCUUCAUGCAGCUGUUUGGACUGGGAUGUGCGGUGGAGCGGAAUAGCAAGGUGCAACGACACAACGGUGAUUGUUUUUCCGAAGUCGAAAUCAGCGUCAGAGGGGGUGUCCAUGGCUGAGCUCUCGAAAUGUUCUGAGGUUGGUUCUGAUGAUUCAUCUCAAGGCCAUGGUGUUCAUUUUGUAGUUUUAUGUUCAUUUUGCAGAGACAAAUUUCAUCAUUUUGCAGAGAAAACAAUCAUUAAUGUACAGACAUAGCUUGUGAGUUUUUAUUGAUAAUUGCCUUCCUCUACAUCA
Molecule: long non-coding RNA, 3978 nt
Organism: Brachypodium distachyon (stiff brome)
Lineage: Eukaryota; Viridiplantae; Streptophyta; Magnoliopsida; Poales; Poaceae
Exons: 3
Source: RefSeq, a predicted model, not a curated record